CUGGAACGUUGUACGUAUGCGAAACAACGAUUGUGUCGCGAAACAAUAAGAAUAAGUUCUUAGGCGAGUUCAAAGGCAUGUCGACAACAAUAAGUUUGGACGAAUAGAGUGUACACAAUCGAACUUUCAUCUUCGCACGGGCAAUGCAUUUUCGCCUAUAUAACUAUGGGUCGUAUAGGACAACUUUCGUCACACGCGCCGAACGAGUUCCUUGUAAUUUCACUUAUGCUCCUUUCAAUUGAAAGGGGUAUCGACAAUGACGGUCUUGUCUUGCAUCAUCUAUGGCCCCGGUCUGUUCUAUCAGAUAGAAGUAAAGAAUAUUUUGAUCAAUGCUGAAAGGAACGCGAUCGUUGUCAUUCAGCUUAAAAAGUUUAUCUUCACGGUAAAAAAAGAAGGGAACGAAAUGACGGCUGCGACGUCGACUUUUCGUCGGUGUGAAAGAGCUUAUCAUCCUGGUUGUUAUUGGUUACCCCCACCCCGUACUAGGCAAAGAAGCGAUAUAACGCGAUAAUCAGAUUUAGCAGUUUUCGAACACCGAACUCGACACAAAAUUUUGUAAUCCUAAUGAAAUUAGGACAGCUUUACAACA
This is a long non-coding RNA of Varroa destructor (honeybee mite), 589 nucleotides long. RefSeq lists it as uncharacterized. NCBI's taxonomy places the organism in Eukaryota, Metazoa, Arthropoda, Arachnida, Mesostigmata, Varroidae. The record is from RefSeq and is a predicted model, not a curated record.